GCCCGAGUAGUUUAAUAGGUAAAACUUUAAUUUCAUGCAUUAAUAAUGGGAAUUCAAUUUUCCCCUCAGGCU
This 72-nucleotide transfer RNA is filed under the name Pseudocercospora eumusae. RNAcentral describes it as "Mycosphaerella eumusae tRNA". It matches the Rfam family "tRNA". Rfam says of the family: Transfer RNA (tRNA) molecules are approximately 80 nucleotides in length. Their secondary structure includes four short double-helical elements and three loops (D, anti-codon, and T loops). The record is from Rfam by way of RNAcentral. Lineage: Eukaryota; Fungi; Ascomycota; Dothideomycetes; Mycosphaerellales; Mycosphaerellaceae.